UACAGAGGUCUCAACCGUUGUUCGGAUUCAUUGGGCGUAAAGGGUGCGUAGGCGGUCGUGCAAGUCGGAUGUGAAAUCUCAGGGCUCAACCCUGAAACUGCAUUCGAUACUGCGUGGCUAGAGUGCUGGAGAGGAGACUGGAAUUUACGGUGUAGCAGUGAAAUGCGUAGAUAUCGUAAGGAAGACCAGUGGCGAAGGCGAGUCUCUGGACAGCAACUGACGCUGAGGCACGAAAGCUAGGGGAGCAAACAGG
RNAcentral lists this ribosomal RNA (253 nucleotides) under uncultured bacterium. RNAcentral's name for it is "partial 16S ribosomal RNA". It matches the Rfam family "Bacterial small subunit ribosomal RNA", at positions 524 to 776 of the family's 1533-position model. The record is from RNAcentral.